AUAUUACAUUGGUUUUUGGCACAAGGGGAUAGAAUAGGAGCUUGUUUUGUCAGCUCCGCGCAUCACCCUGGCAGUGCAGUACUUGCAGGGA
This 91-nucleotide small nuclear RNA is filed under the name Cervus elaphus hippelaphus. The record is from RNAcentral. Lineage: Eukaryota; Metazoa; Chordata; Mammalia; Artiodactyla; Cervidae.